Molecule: unclassified non-coding RNA, 219 nt
Filed under: Hevea brasiliensis (rubber tree)
Lineage: Eukaryota; Viridiplantae; Streptophyta; Magnoliopsida; Malpighiales; Euphorbiaceae
Source: RNAcentral
GUAAAGACCAAUUAAAGUGGACAAGAUUUGACCUUUUCCAUUGAAAUGACCCCGUUAUCCCUCAUCACCUUCCUAAUGCUUCGUAAUAAAAUCUACCUGCUUCCUUCGGACCUUCCUUCACUGUGACCGUUUUACCCCUCGCCAACCUUCCUAGAAGCCCAUGUACAGCUCCAAGAAAAUGGUCUUGACAUUCCUUCCUUACCUGUAUCCUAGUUGUCU